This 437-nucleotide ribosomal RNA is filed under the name uncultured bacterium. RNAcentral's name for it is "partial 16S ribosomal RNA". It matches the Rfam family "Bacterial small subunit ribosomal RNA", at positions 29 to 507 of the family's 1533-position model. The record is from RNAcentral.
AGCGAACGCUGGCGGCAGGCUUAACACAUGCAAGUCGAGCGGGCAUCCUUGUGGUGUCAGCGGCAGACGGGUGAGUAACGCGUGGGAACGUGCCCUUCGGUUCGGAAUAACUCAGGGAAACUUGAGCUAAUACCGGAUACGUGCGAGAGCAGAAAGGUUUAUCUGCCGAAGGAUCGGCCCGCGUCUGAUUAGCUAGUUGGUGAGGUUACGGCUCACCAAGGCGACGAUCAGUAGCUGGUCUGAGAGGAUGAUCAGCCACACUGGGACUGAGACACGGCCCAGACUCCUACGGGAGGCAGCAGUGGGGAAUAUUGGACAAUGGGGGCAACCCUGAGCCAGCCAUGCCGCGUGAGUGAUGACGGCCUUAGGGUUGUAAAGCUCUUUUCUCCGGGACGAUAAUGACGGUACCGGAGGAAUAAGCCCCGGCUAACUUCGUG